RNAcentral lists this unclassified non-coding RNA (400 nucleotides) under uncultured bacterium. Its description in RNAcentral is "contains 16S-23S intergenic spacer region". The record is from RNAcentral.
UCCCGGUUGGCCCGGGCUGUCUCGCCUGAAAUAUACAACAGACGACAAGGGUUGCGCUCGUUGCGGGACUUAACCCAACAUCUCACGACACGAGCUGACGACGGCCAUGCAGCACCUGUCACUCCGUUCCCCACGCUGCCGGCUAUGUCUUGCGACAUAGUAAGCAAUGUGGGGCACGGCUCCAUUUCUGGUGCUUUCGGAGGAUGUCAAGCCUUGGUAAGGUUCUACGCGUAUCGUCAUAUUAAACCACAUGAUCCACCGCUUGUGCGGGUCCCCGUCAAUUCCUUUGAGUUUUAGCCUUGCGGCCGUACUUCCCAGGCGGCCUACUUAACGCGUUAGCUACUCAACCCAGGGGGUCGAUACCCCAGACUGAUAGUAGGCAUCGUUUACGGCGUGGACU